GACGAACGCUGGCGGCGUGCUUAACACAUGCAAGUCGAACGAAGAGCGAUGGAAGCUUGCUUCUAUCAAUCUUAGUGGCGAACGGGUGAGUAACGCGUAAUCAACCUGCCCUUCAGAGGGGGACAACAGUUGGAAACGACUGCUAAUACCGCAUACGAUCUAAUCUCGGCAUCGAGGAAAGAUGAAAGGUGGCCUCUAUUUAUAAGCUAUCACUGAAGGAGGGGAUUGCGUCUGAUUAGCUAGUUGGAGGGGUAACGGCCCACCAAGGCGAUGAUCAGUAGCCGGGCUGAGAGGAUGAACGGCCACAUUGGGACUGAGACACGGCCCAGACUCCUACGGGAGGCAGCAGUGGGGAAUCUUCCGCAAUGGACGAAAGUCUGACGGAGCAACGCCGCGUGAGUGAUGACGGCCUUCGGGUUGUAAAGCUCUGUUAAUCGGGACGAAAGGCCUUCUUGCGAACAGUUAGAAGGAUUGACGGUACCGGAAUAGAAAGCCACGGCUAACUACGUG
Molecule: ribosomal RNA, 510 nt
Filed under: uncultured bacterium
Lineage: Bacteria
Description: partial 16S ribosomal RNA
Rfam family: Bacterial small subunit ribosomal RNA
Source: RNAcentral